UACGGGGGGGGCAAGCGUUGUUCGGAAUUACUGGGCGUAAAGGGCUUGUAGGUGGCCAACUAAGUCAGACGUGAAAUCCCUCGGCUUAACCUGGGAACUGCAUUUGUGACUGCAUGGCUGGAGUGCGGCAGAGGGGGAUGGAAUUCCGCGUGUAGCAGUGAAAUGCGUAGAUAUGCGGAGGAACACCGAUGGCGAAGGCAAUCCCCUGGGCCUGCACUGACGCUCAUGCACGAAAGCGUGGGGAGCAAACAGG
This 253-nucleotide ribosomal RNA is filed under the name uncultured bacterium. RNAcentral describes it as "partial 16S ribosomal RNA". It matches the Rfam family "Bacterial small subunit ribosomal RNA", at positions 524 to 776 of the family's 1533-position model. The record is from RNAcentral.